RNAcentral lists this ribosomal RNA (428 nucleotides) under uncultured Anaeromyxobacter sp. RNAcentral's name for it is "partial 16S ribosomal RNA". It matches the Rfam family "Bacterial small subunit ribosomal RNA", at positions 355 to 774 of the family's 1533-position model. The record is from RNAcentral. Lineage: Bacteria; Pseudomonadati; Myxococcota; Myxococcia; Myxococcales; Anaeromyxobacteraceae.
UGGGGAAUCUUGCGCAAUGGGCGAAAGCCUGACGCAGCAACGCCGCGUGUGUGAUGAAGGUCUUCGGAUCGUAAAGCACUGUCGGGAGGGACGAAUAAGGGCCGGGUGAACAAUCCGGUUCGACGACGGUACCUCCAAAGGAAGCACCGGCUAACUCUGUGCCAGCAGCCGCGGUAAUACAGAGGGUGCUAGCGUUGUUCGGAAUUAUUGGGCGUAAAGCGCGUGUAGGCGGCCGGCCAAGUCGGAUGUGAAAGCCCUCGGCUUAACCGAGGAAGUGCGUUCGAUACUAGCUGGCUCGAGUACCGGAGAGGGUGGUGGAAUUCCCGGUGUAGAGGUGAAAUUCGUAGAUAUCGGGAGGAACACCAGUGGCGAAGGCGACCACCUGGACGGAUACUGACGCUGAGACGCGAAAGCGUGGGGAGCAAACA